RNAcentral lists this ribosomal RNA (254 nucleotides) under uncultured bacterium. Its description in RNAcentral is "partial 16S ribosomal RNA". It matches the Rfam family "Bacterial small subunit ribosomal RNA", at positions 524 to 776 of the family's 1533-position model. The record is from RNAcentral.
UACGAAGGGGGCUAGCGUUGCUCGGAAUCACUGGGCGUAAAGGGGUGCGUAGGCGGGUCUUUAAGUCAGGGGUGAAAUCCUGGAGCUCAACUCCAGAACUGCCUUUGAUACUGAGGAUCUUGAGUUCGGGAGAGGUGAGUGGAACUGCGAGUGUAGAGGUGAAAUUCGUAGAUAUUCGCAAGAACACCAGUGGCGAAGGCGGCUCACUGGCCCGAUACUGACGCUGAGGCACGAAAGCGUGGGGAGCAAACAGG